Molecule: non-coding RNA, 573 nt
Organism: Oryza sativa Japonica Group (Japanese rice)
Lineage: Eukaryota; Viridiplantae; Streptophyta; Magnoliopsida; Poales; Poaceae
Source: RefSeq, a predicted model, not a curated record
UCCAUAUCGAUGAUUUUGUGGAUGACUGGUUCUCCAUUGAGAAGUUCAAGAAGGCAUAUGUAGGGACUUUCAGUCCAGUGACAUUGAAGGAUAGAUGGACAUGUUGAUAUAGGAUAUAAAAUCAAGAAGCCUAAAUUGUUACGGAACCCUGGGAGACCAAGAAUGGCUAGGAUAAAGGCAAGUGAUGAGGCUGGCACUAGUAAGAGAAAAUAAUGCACUGAAUGUAAUGAGCUAGGCCACACGGCCAAGACUUGCCAAGGAGGUCCCACAGCAAGUCAAAAGAGGAGGCACUCAUCUUUAGAAAUUGGAACAGUAGAGAGGGGAACAACGAACCAAGUGUUGCACAUCAAAUGCAAGUGCAAGGGAAAGGGUAAGUGACAGUGGCGAUGUAGGUGGAAGGGGAAGUGGCAGUGGCGAUGCAGGUGGAAGGGGAAGGCAAUGAAGAGGAGGGAGGCUAGCUUCAUGGUUUGCAUGAUUUGGACAUCUAUAUGCCCCUUUUAAAUAAUUUUGUGCACUUUUGUGCUAAUAUGGACUUGCAAUAUGAUCUGGACUUGUAAUAUGUGGUAUUGUGCC